UGGCCAGUUAGUGCGAUUUUCAUGCCA
Molecule: non-coding RNA, 27 nt
Filed under: Rattus norvegicus (Norway rat)
Lineage: Eukaryota; Metazoa; Chordata; Mammalia; Rodentia; Muridae
Source: RNAcentral